This 200-nucleotide unclassified non-coding RNA is filed under the name Diatrype sp. Its description in RNAcentral is "partial internal transcribed spacer 2". Lineage: Eukaryota; Fungi; Ascomycota; Sordariomycetes; Xylariales; Diatrypaceae. The record is from RNAcentral.
UUAAGUUCAGCGGGUAUUCCUACCUGAUCCGAGGUCAACCAUUGAAAAUAGGGGGUUUAACGGCAAGACGUCAGCACCGGCACCUAAAGCGAGAAAAAAUUACUACGCUUGGGGUCAGCACGACUCCGCCACUCUAUUUGAGGAGCUAUCCGAAGAUAGGCUCCCAAAACCAAGCAACUGAGGCUUGAGGGUUGAAAUGA